CCGAAGUGUUUCGCUGCAAUAUACAAGCCUUGCAAGGACUGUGUAGAAACAGCGUAUUAUUACAACCACACCACGCAGAAAUGCAAGAAGUAUUCAACUAGCGCCGAGGCAUGGGUUGCUCCUGAACAGGCUAAUUGCUUUGGAAAUCGCCAGGAGUGUAAAAGAUACUGCAGGGGAUUUACUGCCUCGCAAGAAAACAGCAACCAUUAAGCAAAGGAAAGCACGAGGACGUUUUGGAGGCCACCAAGAGAAGCAAAAGAAGGUCCCUGCUUCCGUCAAGCCAGAAUAAUCUCCACGGAUGGUUACUUUCCUUCAGAAUACUGUAUAAAAACUCUACCGAGACCAGUACUACUAUUGCUGAAUAAUAAACCGUUUUUAAUAAAUGUGUGCGCAGGAGAAAUCGGUCCUAUAUGCCCUAC
This is a long non-coding RNA of Dermacentor andersoni, 419 nucleotides long. RefSeq lists it as uncharacterized. Lineage: Eukaryota; Metazoa; Arthropoda; Arachnida; Ixodida; Ixodidae. The record is from RefSeq and is a predicted model, not a curated record.